CCUACGGGGGGCUGCAGUGGGGAAUAUUGGACAAUGGGGGGAACCCUGAUCCAGCCAUGCCGCGUGUGUGAAGAAGGCCCUCGGGUUGUAAAGCACUUUCAGUGAGGAAGAACGCCUGGUGGUUAAUACCCAUCAGGAAAGACAUCACUCACAGAAGAAGCACCGGCUAACUCCGUGCCAGCAGCCGCGGUAAUACGGAGGGUGCGAGCGUUAAUCGGAAUUACUGGGCGUAAAGCGCGCGUAGGUGGCUUGAUAAGCCGGUUGUGAAAGCCCCGGGCUCAACCUGGGAACGGCAUCCGGAACUGUCAAGCUAGAGUGCAGGAGAGGAAGGUAGAAUUCCAGGUGUAGCGGUGAAAUGCGUAGAGAUCGGGAGGAAUACCAGUGGCGAAGGCGGCCUUCUGGACUGACACUGACACUGAGGUGCGAAAGCGUGGGUAGCAAACAGGAUUAGAUACCCGAGUAGUC
Molecule: ribosomal RNA, 465 nt
Filed under: Vreelandella stevensii
Lineage: Bacteria; Pseudomonadati; Pseudomonadota; Gammaproteobacteria; Oceanospirillales; Halomonadaceae
Description: partial 16S ribosomal RNA
Rfam family: Bacterial small subunit ribosomal RNA
Source: RNAcentral